GGGAAGGUAGUGUAGUGGUAACACUUGUCAGAUUGUCUGAUACGGCCCGAGUUCGAUUCUCGACCUUCCUC
Molecule: non-coding RNA, 71 nt
Organism: Pyrenochaeta sp. MPI-SDFR-AT-0127
Lineage: Eukaryota; Fungi; Ascomycota; Dothideomycetes; Pleosporales; Cucurbitariaceae
Source: the annotation of a GenBank genome assembly